UGCGCAGGCGGCGCCGCGUGUCAGGCGUGAAAUCCCCGGGCUUAACCUGGGAAUGGCGCUUGAAACUACGGGGCUGGAGUGUGGCAGAGGGAGGUGGAAUUCCACGUGUAGCGGUGAAAUGCGUAGAGAUGUGGAGGAACACCGAUGGCGAAGGCAGCCUCCUGGGCCAACACUGACGCUCAUGCACGAAAGCGUGGGGAGCAAACAGGAUUAGAUACCCUGGUAGUCCACGCCCUAAACGAUGAUGACUAGUUGUUGGAGGAGUUAAAUCCUUUAGUAACGCAGCUAACGCGUGAAGUCAUCCGCCUGGGGAGUACGGUCGCAAGAUUAAA
RNAcentral lists this ribosomal RNA (332 nucleotides) under uncultured bacterium. RNAcentral describes it as "bacterial SSU rRNA". It matches the Rfam family "Bacterial small subunit ribosomal RNA", at positions 568 to 898 of the family's 1533-position model. The record is from RNAcentral.